This 465-nucleotide ribosomal RNA is filed under the name uncultured bacterium. RNAcentral describes it as "partial 16S ribosomal RNA". It matches the Rfam family "Bacterial small subunit ribosomal RNA", at positions 28 to 507 of the family's 1533-position model. The record is from RNAcentral.
GACGAACGCUGGCGGCGUGCUUAACACAUGCAAGUCGUACGGUAAGGCCCUUUCGGGGGUACACGAGUGGCGAACGGGUGAGUAACACGUGAGUAACCUGCCCACAACUUUGGGAUAACGCUAGGAAACUGGUGCUAAUACUGGAUAUGUGCUCCUGCUGCAUGGUGGGGGUUGGAGAGCUCCGGCGGUUGUGGAUGGACUCGCGGCCUAUCAGCUUGUUGGUGGGGUAGUGGCCUACCAAGGCGGCGACGGGUAGCCGGCCUGAGAGGGUGACCGGCCACAUUGGGACUGAGAUACGGCCCAGACUCCUACGGGAGGCAGCGGUGGGGAAUAUUGCACAAUGGGCGCAAGCCUGAUGCAGCAACGCCGCGUGCGGGAUGACGGCCUUCGGGUUGUAAACCGCUUUCAGCAGGGACGAAGCUUUUUGUGACGGUACCUGCAGAAGAAGCACCGGCUAACUACGUG